AUGAACAGGGAGAACCUGGUGAUCUGGCCGUCCCACGCUCGGUUGCUUGGUAUCUCGGGGAAGGGUGCGGGACUGCAAUGGCUUCACGCACAACAGGAGCUUGUCGUCAGCAAGAAAACAGACGCGACCUCGGUGACGAUCCAUCAGACUCCGGCUUUCUCCGGAACUGCCGGCCGCAACGUGACGCUGCGUUGUACAGUCGAGGGUAGCACCAGUGCCAGCAAUUGGUUGUACUGGUACCGACAAUACCCGGGAAAGGGUCCGGAGUACAUGUUUUACUCGAGCACAGCUAAUUCCGUGCACCCAAAGGAAUUGGUCGGCGGUUUUACGGCGGAGAGACCGCAGACCGACAAGUUCUUCCUGACGUCUAACAAACUGGAGGCGAGUUCGUCGGCCGUGUAUUUCUGCGGCUGGAGUGAUCACGGCGGCUCAGAGUGA
Non-coding RNA from Hypanus sabinus (Atlantic stingray), 438 nucleotides. The record is from the annotation of a RefSeq genome assembly. NCBI's taxonomy places the organism in Eukaryota, Metazoa, Chordata, Chondrichthyes, Myliobatiformes, Dasyatidae.